ACGAUUACCAUUGAGCCUUCCACUACAAAUGAACUAACUUCAGCAGUCACGGACGGGCAAAUAUCUUCCACUACUAUUGGACUCUCAUCUACCCAGGGAUCUGAAAGUACAACUGCAGAGCCAACUGACUCCACAACUGCAGCGGGAACGACCCUUGAAGAUCACACAACAACGUUAGAAAUGUCAACAAUUCCAGCUGAAACAACUACCAUUGUUACACAGGAACCAUCAGCUAGCCCAGAGACUGUGACAAGCCCAUCUCCCACAAUCACUUCUGGUCACACAUCAGCGCCCUCUGACGUUACAAGUGAGUCUCUAACUAGCACUGCUGGAACCUCAACAUCAAGUGAGGCAUCAACAACAACUUCUGAAGCAAACACAUCUGCUGAAGAAUCGACAGCGACCUCAGCUGGUUUAACAAGUGCAACUGUGGAAGCUACGUUUUCAACAUUGGGAGUGACCAUGACACCAGAAUCAACCGGAGACACAAUGGAAACAACUACAGCUAUGUCCUCAAGUGUAACAGAAACUUCAACCAGUACCUCCCCGGAAACAAGUCCCUCACAACCUUCUACGAUAACCAGUGAGCCUUCCACUACAAAUGAACUAACUUCAGCAGUCACGGAUGGGCAAAUAUCUUCCACUACCGUUGGAGUCUCAUCUACCCAGGGAACUGAAAGUACCACUGCAGAGCCAACUGACUCCACAACUGCAGCGGGAACGACCCUUGAAGAUCACACAACAACGUUAGAAAUGUCAACAAUUCCAGCUGAAACAACUACCAUUGUUACACAGGAACCAUCAGCUAGCCCAGAGACUGUGACAAGCCCAUCUCCCACAAUCACUUCUGGUCACACAUCAGCGCCCUCUGACGUUACAAGUGAGUCUCUAACUAGCACUGCUGGAACCUCAACAUCAAGUGAGGCAUCAACAACAACAUCUGAAGCAAACACAUCUGCUGAAGAAUCGACAGCGACCUCAGCUGGUUUAACAAGUGCAACUGUGGAAGCUACGUUUUCAACAUUGGGAGUGACCAUGACACCAGAAUCAACCGGAGACACAAUGGAAACAACUACAGCUAUGUCCUCAAGUGUAACAGAAACUUCAACCAGUACCUCGACAGAAACAAGGCCCUCACAACCUUCUACGAUUACCAUUGAGCCUUCCACUACAAAUGAACUAACUUCAGCAGUCACGGACGUGCAAAUAUCUUCCACUACUAUUGGACUCUCAUCUACCCAAGGAUCUGAAAGUACAACUGCAGAGCCAACUGACUCCACAACUGCAGCGGGAACGACCCUUGAAGAUCACACAACAACGUUAGAAAUGUCAACAAUUCCAGCUGAAACAACUACCAUUGUUACACAGGAACCAUCAGCUAGCCCAGAGACUGUGACAAGCCCAUCUCCCACAAUCACUUCUGGUCACACAUCAGCGCCCUCUGACGUUACAAGUGAGUCUCUAACUAGCACUGCUGGAACCUCAACAUCAAGUGAGGCAUCAACAACAACUUCUGAAGCAAACACAUCUGCUGAAGAAUCGACAGCGACCUCAGCUGGUUUAACAAGUGCAUCUGUGGAAGCUACGUUUUCAACAUCGGGAGUGACCAUGACACCAGAAUCAACCAAAGACACAAUGGAAACAACUACAGCUAUAUCCUCAAGUGUAACAGAAACUUCAACCAGUACCUCCCCGGAAACAAGUCCCUCACAACCUUCUACGAUAACCAGUGAGCCUUCCACUACAAAUGAACUAACUUCAGCAGUCACGGAUGGGCAAAUAUCUUCCACUACCGUUGGAGUCUCAUCUACCCAGGGAACUGAAAGUACCACUGCAGAGCCAACUGACUCCACAACUGCAGCGGGAACGACCCUUGAAGAUCACACAACAACGUUAGAAAUGUCAACAAUUCCAGCUGAAACAACUACCAUUGUUACACAGGAACCAUCAGCUAGCCCAGAGACUGUGACAAGCCCAUCUCCCACAAUCACUUCUGGUCACACAUCAGCGCCCUCUGACGUUACAAGUGAGUCUCUAACUAGCACUGCUGGAACCUCAACAUCAAGUGAGGCAUCAACAACAACUUCUGAAGCAAACACAUCUGCUGAAGAAUCGACAGCGACCUCAGCUGGUUUAACAAGUGCAUCUGUGGAAGCUACGUUUUCAACAUCGGGAGUGACCAUGACACCAGAAUCAACCAAAGACACAAUGGAAACAACUACAGCUAUGUCCUCAAGUGUAACAGAAACUUCAACCAGUACCUCCCCGGAAACAAGUCCCUCACAACCUUCUACGAUAACCAGUGAGCCUUCCACUACAAAUGAACUAACUUCAGCAGUCACGGACGGGCAAAUAUCUUCCACUACAAUUGGACUCUCAUCUUCCCAGGGAUCUGAAAGUACAACUGCAGAGCCAACUGACUCCACAACUACAGCAGGAACGACCCUUGAAGAUCACACAACAACUUUAGAAAUAACAACAAGUCCAGGUGAAACAACGACCAUUGUUACACAAGAACCAUCAGCUAGCCCAGAGACUGUGACAAGCCCAUCUCCCACAAUCACUUCUGGUCACACAUCAGCGCCCUCUGACGUUACAAGUGAGUCUCUAACUAGCACUGCUGGAACCUCAACAUCAAGUGAGGCAUCAACAACAACUUCUGAAGCAAACACAUCUGCUGAAGAAUCGACAGCGACCUCAGCUGGUUUAACAAGUGCAUCUGUGGAAGCUACGUUUUCAACAUCGGGAGUGCCCAUGACACCAGAAUCAACCAAAGACACAAUGGAAACAACUACAGCUAUGUCCUCAAGUGUAACAGAAACUUCAACCAGUACCUCCCCGGAAACAAGUCCCUCACAACCUUCUACGAUAACCAGUGAGCCUUCCACUACAAAUGAACUAACUUCAGCAGUCACGGACGGGCAAAUAUCUUCCACUACCGUUGGAGUCUCAUCUACCCAGGGAACUGAAAGUACAACUGCAGAGCCAACUGACUCCACAACUGCAGCGGGAACGACCCUUGAAGAUCACACAACAACGUUAGAAAUGUCAACAAUUCCAGCUGAAACAAUGACCAUUAUUACACAAGGACCAUCAACUAGCCCAACAAUAGAAGCAAUGACCACAACACAGUCUCCAACUCCCACAUCUACCACACCCUUUCUAACUACUCAAACUACAUUACCUUUCACAACCACACCCAACACACCAUCAACUACAUCAACUUCCCCAACUACCACACCUUCUACAACCACCCUAAUUACAUCAACUACCGCACCUACCACACCUCCAACUACAUUAACUACAUCAACUACACAUUCUACUACACCUAUCCCACCUGCCCCUUCUACUACACCUAUCCCAACUACCCCUUCUACUAACCCUUCUACUACACCUAACCUAACUACAACACCUACCCCAACUACCCCAACUAACCCUUCUACUACACCUAACCUAACUACAACACCUACCCCAACUACCCCUUAUACUACACCUAUCCCAACUACCCCUUCUAAUACACCUACCCAUUCUACUACACCUACCCCAACUAUCCCUUAUACUACACCUAUCCCAACUACCCCUUCUAAUACACCUACCCCUUCUACUACACCUACUUCAACUACCCCAACUAACCCUUCUACUGCAUCCAGUCCAACUUCUACAACUGCAUCUGCUUCAUUGACGUCAACUUCACUCUCAACAACUGGACCUCCGAUAAUUGUGACUGUGGACACUAUUGAAGUAUCAACAGAUGUCACUGUUAGACUCAACAAAACAUUUAAAGAAGAAUACAGUCACCCGUCAACACAGGAAUACCAAGAUUUCACAAAAAAUUUCACCAACGAUAUGACCUUACUGUACAACCGCACUAUUAACAAUUUUAUCGGCAUAGUAAUAAUAGGACUCAGGAAUGGCAGUGUCGUGGUGGACCACGUGGUUCUACUGCGCAUAGAGAAUGGGAAGAACCUAAGUAAUGAGAUUGCUGAGUCAGAAAAACAAAUCAAGGACAGUCUCAAUGCGGCCAAAAACUGCACCACAGGCCAAGUAGGCUGUAUUGGGGUGGACAUAAUUGGAGAUGUCAUUGUAAAAAAUUCCACAUUUGAUAAGGAAUCGGUAUGCGACACGGCCAAACUAGAUAAGGACUUGAGGAUAUACUACCAUGCAGCACAAAUAGAUGGGCGACUGGUCUGUGUCUCUCCCUGUGCCCCCGGACACAACAGGGAAAAGAACUGCAACACCGGCACCUGUAGUAUGUCAAGGGACGGUCCGGUCUGCAGAUGUAACCAGGACUACUGGUACCUAGACUCCGAUUGCUUCGGUCAUAUCCUGAAGAGGGACCUCUUUGCCGCGCUACUGACCCUGGCAGGACUGGCGAUAGCAGCCGUGGGGGUCAUGGUGGUCUAUGUGCCCUGGCAUAGACGACAAUUACAUAGGGUGAAAGAUAUCCAUACUGGACAAGUUAACCAGUGGCUGGAGGAAGACUUUGAAUGGCCCAACAGGCCAAAUAUAGGUGGCCACUUGGUUGGUUCAAGUAGUACCACAGUCCUAACAGAGAAUGAGCCUAACCCACCUUAUGGGGGCCGAGUGGGCUUGCAGUACGACGCAGAGGAGAUUCCCUGUCAUCCUCCAGUACAAGGCUGCCGUCUCCCUACCAUGGAACACAGGCACAGGUGUCCAGGAGGCCUGAGAUCAUCUGCCAUGACUACAGUUCCUGGGGUGCUGAUAGGGACGCCAUUCAAGUCAUACAGACUACCGCCACCUCGUCAGGGCAGCAUUUUACAUUGAGUGACCCUGGCAGCCAAUCAGAGGUGGGAACGGAAUGUUCAUCAUAAUGCUGUCAAAUAUGUAUGUAAUAGCUUAGGAUCAGCAUGCCGGGGAUACGGACUUACUCUGAGAUCUAGUGGGACAUCCUCAACUCUUAAAAACAGAACUGGACAAAGAACAGGAAAGAAAGAAAAAGGAUCUCUUAACGGACAGUCUCCUCUUUGGGAGCGAAGCCUGAAUAACGGUUGUGGGACAAUGCUUUAUUAACACUGCACAGGAUUGUCCAACGAAGUAUGGAGUCACUGAUACAGGAGGAUGUGAAACCCAACCUCAGCUUCAUUAAUGGAAUAAUCUGCUCUCAAAUCAAUCAACCUAUCAGGAUAUCUAAGGAAACAACAUGUUUUAUGUGCUGUACUUCAGUGACGCAAGUUUACAAUAAAUCUGCACAAUGAUAUAUGUUGCUUGUACCAGUUUACCAAUUAGCAUGGCUUCUUUUGCACUUUAAUACCACAACAAAUUAAUGUAAAUAAUGUUGUAAUAUCACAUGUAUAUAACAAUCUGUCUUUAUAUAGAACAGACAUUGCACUGUGGUAGUUGUUAUAAAAUCAAAACAUAUUUCAAAUGUGUAUCAAAAACUAAGUUAUUUCCCGACUUUUGUAAACUGCAUAAUGUCAAACCAAUAAUACAAUAUUGUAUCACACAUAAAUAGAACAAUAAACGCAUCUGAUGAAAUUGGCAGUCAAAUGAACAAUGAAUGAAGGCCAAAGUGAGCCAUUUCUAAUCAGUGCCGCAUUCUCUUGA
RNA transcript from Oncorhynchus nerka (sockeye salmon), 5565 nucleotides. It is a transcript of the gene named mucin-2-like, with no coding region annotated. The transcript has 11 exons. The record is from RefSeq and is a predicted model, not a curated record. NCBI's taxonomy places the organism in Eukaryota, Metazoa, Chordata, Actinopteri, Salmoniformes, Salmonidae.